UGGCAAAACUCUCUUGCUCAGUUGGCCA
This 28-nucleotide non-coding RNA is filed under the name Rattus norvegicus (Norway rat). Lineage: Eukaryota; Metazoa; Chordata; Mammalia; Rodentia; Muridae. The record is from RNAcentral.